GGAGAGCGCAGCUUCCCUCUCAAGCCUUCUCGGGGGGAGAGCGAUCCCCACAGAGGCUUGAGAGGGAAGCUGCACAUCUGC
Molecule: non-coding RNA, 81 nt
Organism: Podarcis lilfordi (Lilford's wall lizard)
Lineage: Eukaryota; Metazoa; Chordata; Lepidosauria; Squamata; Lacertidae
Source: the annotation of a GenBank genome assembly